UAGGGAAUCUUCGGCAAUGGACGGAAGUCUGACCGAGCAACGCCGCGUGAGUGAAGAAGGUUUUCGGAUCGUAAAGCUCUGUUGUAAGAGAAGAACGAGUGUGAGAGUGGAAAGUUCACACUGUGACGGUAUCUUACCAGAAAGGGACGGCUAACUACGUGCCAGCAGCCGCGGUAAUACGUAGGUCCCGAGCGUUGUCCGGAUUUAUUGGGCGUAAAGCGAGCGCAGGCGGUUAGAUAAGUCUGAAGUUAAAGGCUGUGGCUUAACCAUAGUAGGCUUUGGAAACUGUUUAACUUGAGUGCAAGAGGGGAGAGUGGAAUUCCAUGUGUAGCGGUGAAAUGCGUAGAUAUAUGGAGGAACACCGGUGGCGAAAGCGGCUCUCUGGCUUGUAACUGACGCUGAGGCUCGAAAGCGUGGGGAGCAAACAGGAUUAGAUACCCUGGUAGUCCACGCUGUAAACGAUGAGUGCUAGGUGUUAGACCCUCUCCGGGGUUUAGUGCCGUAGCUAACGCAUUAAGCACUCCGCCUGGGGAGUACGACCGCAAGGUUG
This 550-nucleotide ribosomal RNA is filed under the name uncultured bacterium. RNAcentral describes it as "bacterial SSU rRNA". It matches the Rfam family "Bacterial small subunit ribosomal RNA", at positions 355 to 896 of the family's 1533-position model. The record is from RNAcentral.